AGGCACAAGCACAGGGGAGGCAGGCAACACCAGCCCUCAGGCUACACUCUCCAUUUGGAGCAGAGCUUCUUCGGCAGCCCCAGGUCUCCCGGGAUCUUCCUCGGUGUCCUGCGGAGGCUCUGGCUCCAGCGUGGGCUCCAGCGCAGGCUGGGCUUCCGGCUGGGCUUCAGCGCUCCGGCCAGGCCCAAGGCGAGGCGGCUUGACCGGGGUGGGCGGUGGCGCUGCAGGGCCUUUCCGGCCCGAAAGGGCCCUUCGGAGGCUCUGUACCUUCUGCAAUCCGGUGCGCCGCAGCCGCUGGGCCCUGGACUCCACCGGCUCCUCGUCCGAGCUCUCUCCAACUUCGGCCUCCAGCUGCUCUGGGCCCAGCUCGGACUGGUCCGCCGGGCCCAAGGGCUCUGGUGCCUUCUGGAAAGCGCUGGCUGGGACUUCACCCUCCUCCUGCAUGUGACGGACACAGCACUGAUCCUGGCAGCUCCUUACCCCCAGCAGCCCGAAACUCACUCCUUAAUUACACAAGGGAAACCUUUUACCUCCGCAGCCAGAGUCUGGGGGGAAAGGCAGGCGUGGGAAGAUGGGUUCUCUACCUGGCCAGUGCCAUGUUGCCUGUUUCUUUACUGUAACUGUGGUGACAAAGAAAAGGGAAGAUGGAGCCUCCAUGUUGAACAUACCUGGCCCCCAGCACUAACUCCCUCUCUGGAUAUCUGGAACAAGGAGGACCUUAAACUUAACAAUAAAGCCAAUGAUGGUUCUACCAGUCUCCCCAAAGCCUCAAGUUUAAAAGCCAUAUGAACUGGCUGAUAGUGGAAAAUGGAAGCCAUGAGGAAAUCAGAUUAGAGUACUACCUGGUGAAGCCUGGAGGACCUACCAAGAAAAGCAAACUUGGAUCUUUGCAAGGUUAGAAGAACGAAUGGGAUCCAAGAAAAAGACUGGUCAUAUUCAACGGCUAAGAGCGUUGGAGAAGGCCUGUGGAGUCUCAGCAGGUCAGGUCCAUGACUCAUGAGUAGACACCUGUGUUUCUACUGCCUGGUGCCAUAAUCAUAAACAAGGAAGAAACUGAGGACAGGAGGGGCCAAACAAGUUACAGUUUCAUCCCUCCAGAGAGCCAACAGAGUAUUUUGCACGAAGUUGAAGCUAAACAGGUAUUAUGUCCUAUCUCUGGACUGAAUGACUAGAUGCUACUCAGCUUCUGAACUAGAGGAAGCCUGGGACCUUGACCGCACUAAUGCUGAUGACAGCGGAUUUGCAAGUGGCUAGAGGUACCAGAUUUAGCAAAUCAAAAUAUAGGACGUCAAGUUAAAUUUAAGUGUAAGAUAAGCUACGAAUACCUUUUCUAGUAUUAGUACGUCCCAUGCAAUAUACUAGAAAUGUUAUUCGUUAUUUAUGUUAAAUUUAAUUUUAUUAGGGCAUCCUAUAUUUUACCUGUCAAUCCAACCCAUGACCUAGGCAGACACUGUAGAAAAACAAAAGGAGAAUUAAGGAGAUAAAUGAAACACAGGGUGAGCUGAAAAGAGGUGCUCUGUGAAUUUGAGGGUCCAGUAGGAGCUGACUUGUAGGUACUUGGUCUGUUUUGAUGCCCACAACAACCUUGGGGAAGGGGCGGAAUAGCAGAGGGGUAAGCUCUCUGCCCCCCACCAGGGUUCUGCAGGACGCCAGGGCUUUUAUCAGCACCCCUAUGUUCACAUCCUGGCUGCACCCUCCUUGGUUGUAUAUACUCUGGAUAAUUCACUUAAUUUAAAUCUUGCUGCUUUUAUAAAAUUGAUAAAAAGUUAAUAGUGACACUGAUCACACUGAUGUCCCUCAAUGAAUUAUCAAUAUGUUUUUUCUUCCCACCUAUAUUCUUUAUUGAACUCUGUUAUUUUUGAUCCUGGUCUAGAGUAAGCAUUAUGACCAUGCAAGAGUGAAAUGAAAUUUUUAAAAAUAA
RNAcentral lists this long non-coding RNA (1921 nucleotides) under Homo sapiens (human). RNAcentral describes it as "novel transcript, antisense to PRKCDBP". The record is from RNAcentral. Lineage: Eukaryota; Metazoa; Chordata; Mammalia; Primates; Hominidae.